This 710-nucleotide ribosomal RNA is filed under the name Alternaria sp. M9-3-4. RNAcentral's name for it is "SSU rRNA". It matches the Rfam family "Eukaryotic small subunit ribosomal RNA", at positions 229 to 945 of the family's 1831-position model. Lineage: Eukaryota; Fungi; Ascomycota; Dothideomycetes; Pleosporales; Pleosporaceae. The record is from RNAcentral.
CCCUUCGGGGCUCCUUGGUGAUUCAUGAUAACUUUACGGAUCGCAUAGCCUUGCGCUGGCGACGGUUCAUUCAAAUUUCUGCCCUAUCAACUUUCGAUGGUAAGGUAUUGGCUUACCAUGGUUUCAACGGGUAACGGGGAAUUAGGGUUCGAUUCCGGAGAGGCAGCCUGAGAAACGGCUACCACAUCCAAGGAAGGCAGCAGGCGCGCAAAUUACCCAAUCCCGACACGGGGAGGUAGUGACAAUAAAUACUGAUACAGGGCUCUUUUGGGUCUUGUAAUUGGAAUGAGUACAAUUCAAAUCUCUUAACGAGGAACAAUUGGAGGGCAAGUCUGGUGCCAGCAGCCGCGGUAAUUCCAGCUCCAAUAGCGUAUAUUAAAGUUGUUGCAGUUAAAAAGCUCGUAGUUGAAACUUGGGCCUGGCUGGCGGGUCCGCCUCACCGCGUGCACUCGUCCGGCCGGGCCUUCCUUCUGAAGAACCUCAUGCCCUUCACUGGGCGUGCUGGGGAAUCAGGACUUUUACUUUGAAAAAAUUAGAGUGUUCAAAGCAGGCCUUUGCUCGAAUACGUUAGCAUGGAAUAAUAAAAUAGGGCGUGCGUUUCUAUUUUGUUGGUUUCUAGAGACGCCGCAAUGAUUAACAGGAACAGUCGGGGGCAUCAGUAUUCAGUUGUCAGAGGUGAAAUUCUUGGAUUUACUGAAGACUAACUACUG